UCUAUUUUCGUGCUUGCUCUGUUCUUGUGCCCUUUCUUCGUUGCUUGCUGCACUAUCCGUUUCUCAUCCCCCAUUCCAUUGCCUCUACGUUUUCCAAUCAUAGGUAUGACUUCUUCUUCCGCUUCGUCUUCUGGUCUUGUUUUUAGGCGUCACCAUCAAGGUCCAACGGUGACGUGGGGGGUCCCCUUCUAGGUGAGGGCUCCUCCCUAAAUACUCCUAGAGAGAGGGUCUGCACAUAGCCUCUCUCCGUCGCGCCUCCUAUGAUGGCCUCUACUAGGGUUUUCAUCGUAGUUCAGAAGAAAAAGAAAUUGGUCAGAAGUAGGGCGGUUGCUCUUCUUGUAACUCAGCCUGAGUCAGCUGCUCUUGUGGCCCGGGGGAGGAGUCGCUUCCCCCAUUCUCAACAAGGUGGCCUCUUACGCCUUUGAGUAUCUUAUCGAGGUACGGUUGUCCUAGUUGAUGUCUACAUUUAACUUCUGCCCUGAGAGGCUUAUUGUCUUGCCUUCUUCUCUGGGUGAAAGGGUCUUUUCUCGUCCCGCUGAGGAGGACGAGGUCUUUACAUACGUUUAUCAGUAUUUCCGUGAUUUUGACAUUUCCUUCCCUUUAUUUGGAUUUGAAGCUAAUCUUCUAUCAAUAAUGCUUGUAGCCCUGAGUUAGCUUCACCCCAAUACUUAGGGCUUUGUAAAGGCUUUCAAGAUCAUCCGUGAGCAUCUCAGCCUGACCCCCACACCCCGUAUGUUCAUAUAUUUUUAUCAGAUGUAACACAGGGAUAAAGUUUGCUGGGUCUCCUUCAAUGGCGCUCCCGGCCACGGAUCGUUAUUCACCGUGUACUCUUAAUAGUUCAAGAACUUCAAAGACAAGUUCUUCAAUUUGAAACUUGCUUCCACUGAGUCUGCGGUGCAGUACUUCCUGCAUCCAGGGACUCACAAGCCCUCAGUGUUGAAGGGUGUCCUGAGUGCCGAGGAGGUUAUGUCGUUCGGAGGUUUCGACUACCAGUCCUGGAAAGCUCUGCACUUGAAGAAAUAGAAGGGAAAGAUUGUCCAGUCUCCUAGUGCUACUUCUCAUGCCGCAAAGAAACAGAAGAUUGGUCUGCCUGCACCUACAUGGGACCGCCAAUUAGCCAAGGUGGUUCCUGCCUCUCCCUCAAAGAUAUCCACGAGCGGGCCAGUCGUGGAGACCGAGGUGGUGGACUUAUCAUCCGGCGACGCCUUUGGAAAACGUGUGGAGGGUGGUUGUGGGCCGAUUGUCCAAGUUAGAACGUCGUCUGUUGGUCCCUUUACCAUGCCGACCUUUUGCACGAGGUUCAUCCCUGGCUUCGCUGGCAAGGGACCCAUCUUUCGCUUAGAGCAUGCCUCCGCCACAACACCAAAUGUGGAAUUGUUGUGACAUCUGGGUAUGCAGGGGAGCGAUAUGGAGAGCGAGCACCUGUCGAGCCCCUACUAUCGAUAGAUGUUUAGGACCCUGGAACAUACGGCAAGGUGAUGUUGGAGUGGGUUCUAUACAUCGUGCGCGUAGCGAGGAUUACAUGGAAGAGCGACAAAGGUGGAUGGGCCAACUAGAGGAAAAGGAGAAGGAUAGGCUUGGGUAGGAGGUAGCUUUGAAUGUUGCCAACCAAAAGCUGAAAGAGAUGGAUGCGGAGCUUGGCAAGCUGAAGGCAUAGGCAACCUGAUCUGCAGAGAGUCUGCAAAGCGCUACGAGCUGAGGCGGGUGUGCUGAAAGCUACCAACGAGGUCCUUGCUAAGCAGGUGUUGGACAAGGACGAAAAGUUGACUAAGCACGCCAAUCGCCUUGUUGGGCUGGCAAUGGAGAAGUGUAGCCUGGAAUAGGGUCUGGACAAGGCUAAGGCUGCCUCCAAGCUGCUAACCAGGGGAAUCGCCGACCUUGAAGCCGACGUCUAUCGGUUGAAGGAGGAGACUACGACACUUACGGCGGGAGGACUGGAGGCCUAUGCAACAAGUUUUUAGAAGGCUAAGAGGCAUACCGCCCUCCUUUUCCUUGGUCUUGACUUGAGGAAAAUUGAUAUGGACAAAGAGAUUGUGGAUGGAGCCCAUGUCGGAGAAGAGGCCGUUCAGGAUCUCUCCCCAGUCCAGGUGCGCCUUGUUGAGGUCGAUAGCGAGAUUUGUAGUGUAGGGUAAUUGAUGUAAAUGUUUGAAUGCUUGUAAUGUACUUGGGACUUGCGGCUUUGCUUUUGUGAAUAUAAUAUUUGUUUUUUCUGCUAA
This is a long non-coding RNA of Vigna unguiculata (cowpea), 2216 nucleotides long. RefSeq lists it as uncharacterized. The record is from RefSeq and is a predicted model, not a curated record. Lineage: Eukaryota; Viridiplantae; Streptophyta; Magnoliopsida; Fabales; Fabaceae.